GUCCUAAAAAUAAGCUAAAACCAACUAAAGNAUACAACAAAACCCGUCCGCAGAUAACGGACUUA
RNAcentral lists this ribosomal RNA (65 nucleotides) under Urosaurus ornatus. RNAcentral describes it as "partial 16S ribosomal RNA". Lineage: Eukaryota; Metazoa; Chordata; Lepidosauria; Squamata; Phrynosomatidae. The record is from RNAcentral.